Long non-coding RNA from Haplochromis burtoni (Burton's mouthbrooder), 2834 nucleotides. RefSeq lists it as uncharacterized. The transcript is spliced from 3 exons. Lineage: Eukaryota; Metazoa; Chordata; Actinopteri; Cichliformes; Cichlidae. The record is from RefSeq and is a predicted model, not a curated record.
CCUCUGCACUAUGCACUUGAACAUAUAAAAGUAAUGAUCACCUCUUUCAUUGAAUUUUGAGUGUUUUAAUCAGCAUUGUUACACCUGUGGUGUUCCCGGACAAAAGUAACUGCCAUAGGAAAUAAACUGGAAUCCACUCACUGAAUGGCCCACUUAUCCCUCCUCUCGCGUUCACCCCCCACCCCUUACUUUAGUGUUCCCAGUCAAAAUUGACUGGUCUGUUUUAACAGCUCUUAAAUUACCAUAACAAACAGUUUUCACCACUAAAUUCAGUUGUGUGGGUGCGUCAAUGGGUCAUUCAGAGAAACUUUCAUUUGGUAUUCCAGUGGGUCGUUCAGGGGGCCUUUCAUUUGGUCAUUCAGUCAAUGGGUGGGGGGUUGAACAUGACAGGAGGGUUAAAAAUACGGGAUCAUCUUUUUUUUCCCUCUUUUUUUUCUAAGAACUGUAUAGAAAUUGCUUAGUCACAUGUCAUUUCAUGGUCUAUUUUUUCUGCCAACAGAGGGUUCACUCCAACAAAUUGAGAAUGUAUACGGAAUUAAUGGACAGCCACAGAAAACGAAAGUCAUCCUCUUCUACCGAGCUACCUAUGAAGAACGCAAAACUUACAGACUCUUUCACUGGCUCUAGGCGAAUAACACAAGCAGCAUUUGACAAGCUUCUGCUUACGUUUGUAUGUGAGGCCAACCAACCAUUUUCUAUAGUUGAGACAUCAUCCUUCAAGACUAUGAUGGAAACCUUGCAACCUCAGUGUACAGUAAUGACAAGGAAAACGUGUUCAAAAAUACAAGACGCUGUGAAGAACAUGAAAAGCAUAAUCAUCAAAAAACUGAGCACUGCAUGAACUAUGUUGCUACCACAACAGACUGCUGGUCUGCCAGACAGCAUAGCUACUUAGGAGUUACUUGUCACUAGAUAGAUGAUAUCUCUUUAGAAAGGCAUUCUGCUGCACUGGCUUGUAGACCUCUUAAAGGUUCACACACAUUUGAUGUUCUUGCUGCUGCAUUAGAGGAAAUCCAUUCAGAGUAUCACAUCAGAGAAAAGGUCACCCGGACGACAACAGACAGUGGUUCAAACUUCUUGAAGGCCUUUCGAUUAUAUGGUGAGGACAAAGAGGAAGGAACAACCAAUUGGCAGGAGGAUAGUGGGUCUAUCCUUGAUGAUGCAGAAGACAGUGAGUUAGAGGUGGAGUAUCAAGAUGUGUUUGCCGUUUUGGAUGAUAACACAGGUCUGGAGUACCAGCUUCCAAGGCACCAAAAGUGUGCAUGUCAUCUACUCAAUCUUAUAUCAACAGUUGAUGCCACUGCUGCAGAAGCUACCAAUGAUACAUACAAGAGACUGUCUCGGUCUGCUUUUGCAAAAUGUCAUGCUCUGUGGAAUAAAACCAGCAGGUCAAUCAUGGCUUAUGAAAGAGUGGAACGUGAGUGCAAGUUGCAGUUUCUUCGACCCAAUCAAACUCGUUGGAGCUCCCUGUUCCUUGCUGUGGAAAGAUUUGUGCGCAUUCAUAAAGAGCAAGGAGAGAAAACAAUCCGCAAUGUUUGCACGGCAUUAAAGAUAAAGAUGUUCAAUCUGCUGAAAUGGGAUUUUUGGUUGAGUACACUGCUGUGAUGAAGCCUGUUGUCAUGGCCCUUAAGGGGAAUCAUCUGUGCACAUGGGCUUCUUGCUACCAACACUUUACCAGUUGCUGGAGAAGCUGAGGAAGCUGGAGUCAUCUUGCAAAAUGUGUAGACCUCUUGUUGAUGCGCUGCAGGAUGGAAUCCAGAAACGUUUUGGAGAAAUGAUGAAAGACCCUCAGCUCUUAAAUUGUCUGACCUUCAUCAGACAUCAACUAGACACAGAGUUGGGUGAGGCCAGCACAAACAGCAGCCUAUCUGAUGAAGAUGACUUCUUUGGGUCCAUGGGGUCAGGAAAUCCAGAAGCAGUGGAGCUGGAGAGGUACCUUUCAUGUCCAUUCACUGGAGGUAUGGAUGUAUUGCAUGGCUUUCCUCAGAUCAAGAAGCUGUCAGUCAAAGUCAAUACAGCUCUUUGUAGUUGAGUGUAGUUUUUAUUUGAAAUAUUUUCAUUCUGGUGUUUGUAUUGCAUGUUUUUAGUGUUUUCAUAUUACAUUGUGUUAAUCCACUGUCUAUACUUCAGGGUAUUUUAGUAUACAAAGAACAUUUUAUAGUUUUGUUAGAAUGUCUAUUCCUGUGGAAUUUUAGCACAGAUGUGUUGUGUGUGUUUUUUUUGUUUUUUGUUUUUUUAAUUCCUGCUGUCCACUUUGGGAAUAAACUUUUCCUGAUUAUACCUGUUGCAUCUCUGUGUCAUUUGUUUCUGAUUUACUUAAUCCCUCCUUGUAUUUAAAAGAACCACCCCUAGUAUGACAUUCUGGCGCAUCAGCUGUAGUCUGUUAUGUUGAAGUUGCGUCGUUCUAAUGUUUUCUCUGAGGCUGCUGUAAAUGCGAAUAUAUUUACUGUGGGUUUUGCUUGAAAAAGCUUUACGUUGUGAAAAACUGAAAUCUUGAAAUUAGAAUUGUUGUGCCUUAUUUUGUGGAUCUUUUUACAUAUAUUCCUUUUGAAAAUACUAAAAUUUGUAUAUUUAUUUAUUUUUCUUUGUCUGAUAGCAUUUAUUUAUAAAAUAAAUCGGACAUUUCAAACAGUUACUCGCUACUUACUCUGUACUUGAAUAGCCUUUUUACCAAGUACUUUUUUACUCUUACUCGAGUAACUUUUUUGACGACUACUUUUCACUUUUACUUGAGUAAUAAUAUUUUAAAGUAAUGAUACUCUUACUUGAGUACAAGUUCUGGAUGCUCGACCCACCUCUGGGAACUGGUUUAGCUUUCGAUUGUCAGAUACACA